RNAcentral lists this ribosomal RNA (446 nucleotides) under uncultured bacterium. Its description in RNAcentral is "bacterial SSU rRNA". It matches the Rfam family "Bacterial small subunit ribosomal RNA", at positions 331 to 793 of the family's 1533-position model. The record is from RNAcentral.
CCAGACUCCUACGGGAGGCAGCAGUGGGGAAUAUUGCACAAUGGGGGAAACCCUGAUGCAGCGACGCCGCGUGAGCGAAGAAGUAUUUCGGUGUGUAAAGCUCUAUCAGCAGGGAAGAAAAUGACGGUACCUGAGUAAGAAGCUCCGGCUAAAUACGUGCCAGCAGCCGCGGUAAUACGUAUGGAGCAAGCGUUAUCCGGAUUUACUGGGUGUAAAGGGAGCGCAGGCGGUCUGGCAAGUCUGAUGUGAAAUACCGGGGCUCAACUCCGGGACUGCAUUGGAAACUGUCAGACUGGAGUGUCGGAGAGGCAGGCGGAAUUCCUGGUGUAGCGGUGAAAUGCGUAGAUAUCAGGAGGAACACCAGUGGCGAAGGCGGCCUGCUGGGCGAUGACUGACGCUGAGGCUCGAAAGCGUGGGGAGCAAACAGGAUUAGAUACCCCGGUAAG